UUUGUUUUAAAAACAUGACAUGUAAUGCUUGCAAUGAUACAGAGAAGAUUAACAGGGCCCCUGUACAGGGAUGACAGACAAAUUCGUGAAGCAUUCCAUAUUAAA
Molecule: small nuclear RNA, 105 nt
Organism: Nannospalax galili (Upper Galilee mountains blind mole rat)
Lineage: Eukaryota; Metazoa; Chordata; Mammalia; Rodentia; Spalacidae
Source: Ensembl